UCGGCUGUUAACCGAAAGGUUGGUGGUUCGAUCCCACCCAGGGACG
Molecule: transfer RNA, 46 nt
Filed under: Phaethon lepturus (White-tailed tropicbird)
Lineage: Eukaryota; Metazoa; Chordata; Aves; Phaethontiformes; Phaethontidae
Rfam family: tRNA
About the family: Transfer RNA (tRNA) molecules are approximately 80 nucleotides in length.
Source: Rfam by way of RNAcentral